Dalotia coriaria is the source of this 769-nucleotide long non-coding RNA. RefSeq lists it as uncharacterized. Lineage: Eukaryota; Metazoa; Arthropoda; Insecta; Coleoptera; Staphylinidae. The transcript has 3 exons. The record is from RefSeq and is a predicted model, not a curated record.
CAUUUGUGUUGUUUGUGUGGUGUGCUUUAUGGGCGGCUUUUAAGUGUUUUCAGUUAAUAUCUUUUGUUAAUUGUUAAAUAUUAAACUAACGAUGCGAAGCGUUUGGGACAAAAUUACUGAUUCGGAAACACCUUAGGGAGUGCGUGUGUUGGCGCCUCGGGAAAGGGUUCGCAAAAGGUCCCCGCUGAAAGUUGGCUAGGAAAAGCUCGCUAAGUGGUUUUCCAACACGUUUUCCAUCAAGCGCACCACCCUCGCCAUCUCGCAUGUAGAUGCUGCGAACAGAAGACGCACGUCCGCUCGUCGGCUUCCUCGAAACCCACACACCCUCCACGCACAGCCUGGAAUAAAGGAAGAAAUGCGUGGGAAGGUAGGAAAUAGGAAGCCUUCCGGGAACGGGUGCAGAUGGAAAUGAAAAAACUUGAUAUUUAUAUCUUCACUAACGGCGCGGCGGACGAGCGCAAUAAAACCAUCCACCAUCUAGCAUCAAACAUAUAACAGCAUUCAACGAAUUACUUCUGAAUGUCUACUGAAGGAGAAGAAUAAACGAGUGGCAAACUGGUAACGUUGUAAACAUCUUUAUAAUCUUUUCACUCUGACGAAAUUUUGACUUUGUGAAGAAUUAAAUACUUUAAAUGAUAAUUUAAGGGAUGCACACCUGGUUUUGGGUGGUAUGGCAUAAUCUGCUUAAAAAUAUAAAUUGAUAAAUUAUGUAAAUUUAAUUUUUCAACGUUUUUUUACCGUUUUAGGGUAGUUUUUGUAUAAAUUUCAA